AAGUUAAAAAAAAAAAGUUUUAGACAGAUAAUUCUUGUCAAAAAAGGACAACAAAUAAGCACCCUUUUUUUUCUGUUUUAGAGGGUGAGGUGGGGAACUUAAGUAUGUUUCAUAAGUAAAGAGUGAAUCCUCACGGUGAUUUUUUUUAAGCUUGAAAACAUAGGAAAAUGGUAAAUCAGAAACUUGAAGCCAGGGAGCCUUACCUGUGUGUGCAAGUGUGGACUUGAGCAAAGGGAAGCCUUAGGCACCUGUGCCAGGCCCAUGCAACUUUUCCAUGGACACGUCUUCCUAUAUUUCCAAUAACAACCAGAGAACCAGCUACCCGCCUUUUGAUGCUGUCCUCUUCCUGCAGGAGGAAGGGUAGGGGGACAGGAUUCUUCCACCCAAGUGCCCUUGCAGGUGUCUAAGCCUGGGUGGUGGAUUCUUGGUUCCUGGCAGGCCUUGGAGGGCAGGCAACAGCCAGACUGCCAAAAACACCCAAUUAGAUUGAAUGUGGUUCCCUAGUUGUGGCUGUGGGUAGGGAGGAAAGUUAAGUCUCUUCACACAUCUCCUCUCUGCACGCUGUGGUCUAGUUUGCACAGCCUCUUCUUAUUCUUAAUAACCCAGAAUCUGAGAAUUUAGAGUCCUUCUUGUUACUUAGGAAGGACUAAUCUUCCCCGGCAGGUUGUCCUGCAUUUGUUGAAUGGGGUAAAAAUUGCAUAGCAUCUCGAGUGCUGUGCCUACAAAUUACCUUGAUAAAUGAUUGUGACUCAGCAAAGCUUAGGCUUUUGCCCUAGUUUUGGAGGCUGGGGCUAACUAGAGAAAAAAUGGAGGGUCUGUUGGGUGUUUCUGCUGUUUUUACAAGGCUUCAUAAUUCCCCAUUGUCUGCGUGUGUGUGAAUCAGCAAGUGGUUCGCAUCCUGAUUGGGUGGUGUGAUGGGAGCACCCACCUCGCAGAGCCUCAGAGCCCUCAUUGUCUCCCUUUUCCAUUUGCUCAUUCCUACUUUGGCCAGUGGCACCCUGAAAGAGUUUUCAUUAGUAACAGUGUUGAGGAAACCACCCAUUAGAGGCAGCGGGACUACACUGAUCAGCAUGUGGGCUGGGUGAUUGCUCAGAUCUGAGCUCAGAGCUUGCUGUGCUGCUCACCAGAUGUGUGAGCCCGAGGAUGCUGUCCCGGCUCCCAGCCUCAGUUUCCUCACCUGUGGGACUAGACGGGACUAAACCAGGGGGAGAAUAGAAAGCACCCACGGGUAGUAAGUGCUCACCGAGGCAUUUCCCCAGAUUCCUGCCAUUGUUUACUUACACUGGGAAGCACCCACAGCCUCCUCCUGGAAAACACACACCCCCUGCUCUCAAGAACUUUCCAUUUUAAAACAAACUUGCCCUCUGGUGUGUCAUCCUUGCUUUCUGAAAGUGAGUUUUCUUCUCCACGCCACUGUGUGUUUUUUUCUGAUAGCAGUAGGGACUGUGUAUUGGAGCUCAGUCUAUGGGAAGCAUUUUGUACUCGACGUUUAGGCACGAUUAUCCCCAUUUGAAGAUAAACUGAGGCUCAGGCGGGUUCAGUAACCUGCACUGGAGGUCAGGGUCAGUGGCAGAGCUGGAAUUCAAGCCCCAGGAUGUCCGACUGCAACGCCCAUGUGCCUAACCACGAUUUGAUACCGUCAUCCAGACGAAGGACAUCACGGGGUAGGUAGAUAAAGAUAGAAGGAGGUGGGGGUGCCCAGCAACUGAGGGUGGCUGGGAUCCCUUCAUAAACCCGGCUCAUCUGUGCAGAGCGUGGAUCCUUCUGGAGUCAGUGCACCUGGUUGCGGCCAGAAUCCCCCCUUCCCACUCUGUCCGUCUAUAGCUCUAGAAAUAGAGUUACACACAUACCUGCAACUUGCGCUUUCUGCAUGCCACAGGCAGCCAUUACACUUGGUCCAUCUCUUAGAUUAUUCUUAAGAGAGAGCUUCCAGGAACGGGGAUUACAGCACCAGGAAGCAGAAACAUUUCAAAGGCUCUUGAUACAUGUGGCCAAACUGUUUUCCAAUUUACUCAUCAGCCAGAGGACUACAGAUCCUGCAACGCAGCAUUUAAAACACCCACCUCCCAAGCCAGCCAAUCGCUUCUUUUUUCUUUUUUUUUUGAGACGGAUUCUCGCUCUUGUCACCCAGGCUGGAGUGCAGUGGCGCAAUCUCGGCUCACUGCAACCUCCGCCUCCCAGGCUCAAGCGAUUCUCCUGCCUCAGCCUCCCUAGUAGCUGGGAUUACAGUCGCAUGCCACCACAUUCAGUUAAUUUUUGUAUUUUUAGUAGAGACGGGGUUUCACCAUGUUGGCCAGGCUAGUCUCAAACUUCUGACCUCAGGUGAUCCACCCGCCUCAGCCUCCCAAAGUGCUGGGAUUACAGGUGUGAGCCACUCGACCCGGCCUCUUUUUUUUUAAGAGAUGAGAUCUCGCUCUGUUACCUAGGCUGGAGUGCAGUGGCACAAUCAUAGCUCACUGCAGUCUCGAACUCCCAGGCUCCAACAAUCCUCCCUUCUCAACCUCCCAAGUAUCUGGGAGCACAGGUGCGUGCCACCACGCCCAGCUAAUUUUUUAUUUUUUAUUUUUAUAUUUUUAUUUUUAUUUUUUUUGAGACAGAGUCUUGCUCUGUUGCCCAGGCUGGAGUGCAGUGGCACGAUCUCAGCUCACUGCAAGCUCUGCCUCCCGGAUUCAAGCCAUUCUCCUGCCUCAGCCUCCCAAGUAGCUGGGACUACAGGUGCCCACCACCACGCCAGGCUAAUUUUUGUAUUUUUAGUAGAGACGGGGUUUCACCAUGUUAGCCAGGAUGGUCUCAAUCUCCUCACCUCGUGAUCUGCCUGCCUCAGCCUCCCAAAUUGCUAGGAUUACAGGCAUGAGCCACUGCGCCCGGUCUUUUAAUUUUUUAAAAAUUUUUUAUUUUAUGUAAGUUAUUUUUUAUUUUUUUAUUUUUUGAGACAGAGUCUCACUCUAUCGCCCAGGCUGGAGUGCAGUGGUGUGAUCUCGGCUCACUGCAACCUCUGCCUCCCGGGUUCAAGCAAUUCUCUGCCUCAGCCUCCCGAGUGGCUAGGAUUACAGGUGCCCACCACCACGCCUGCUAAUUUUUUGUUAUUUUUAGUAGAGACGGGGUUUCACCAUCUUGGCCAGGCUGGUCUUGAACUCCUGACCUUGUGAUCCACCCACCUUGGCCUCCCAAAGUGCUGGGAUUACAGGCAUGAGCCACUGCACCUGGCCUAAUUUUUAAAAUUUUCACAGAGACGGGGGUCACGCCAUGUUGCCCAGGCUGGUCUUGAACUCCCGGCCCCAAGUGAUCCUCCCACCUUGGCCUCCCAAAGUGUUGAGAUUACAGGUGUGAGCCACUGUGCAUGGUGAAAUAUAUUUUUAUAUAUUGGGACAACUGAGAAUAUUAGAAUGUGGACAGGCUAUUAGAUGAUACUGAAAUUUGUUAAUUGUACUUAGGAGUGAUAUGUCUAAUGUCUAACUUAUCUUUAACCUCACAGAGUGAGAUGAAACAAAUACAGAAAAUAAUAAUUACCAAAUCUAGGUAGUGGGUAGAUAGGUGGGUUUAUGGUACACCUGGGAUGACAGGUGUGAGUCACCACGCCUGGCCUUAAACAUUCAAUUACAAGGGGGAUAUGGGGGCCCACAGCGACAAGGGGUUUCACCCCCAGGAAGAAACAGACAUGGAACCUGCUGGCCGGGCUUUGAAACUCCUUGUUCUCAGCGUGUGGCCCCAGUGGAGCAGCAUCAGCCUUACCUGAGACCUUGCUAGAAAUGUGCAUUCUUGGGCCCCACUUCAGUCCUACUGAGUCAGGAGCUCCAGGGCCAGGGCCUGGCUGUCUGGAAACAAGCCCUCCAGGUGAUUCUAGUGCCUGCGCAAGUUUGGGAGCUGCUGGUCUGCAGAAAGCUACAUCAACUGAAAGGGGAAAUGUACCACACUUGUUUACACACAAAUCUGUGCCAGCUGGGAGCAACUCCAAGGGAAAUGUCACUUCCAUCUCUCGUUCAUAUGAUGAGUUGGUGCCUCUUAACUCAAUAGUGUCUUUAGUUCAGAUGAUUUGACCACAUGGAAAAUGUCCCUCUGUCCCUCAUGUUGAGGAGACUAGCCCUCACAAACCGUUGUUCUUCAUACCGAGGCCUAUGAUGGGCUAGGCACGUUAUUAUUAAUAUCCCUGUUGUUCCCUCGGGAGGGGAAAUGAAGGCUUAGAGCAGUUUAUUUAUUUUAUUUUAUUUUUUUUCCAAGAUGGAGUCUCGCUCUGUUGCCCAGGCUGGAAUACAGUGGUGCGAUCUUGGUUCACUGCAAUCUCUGCCUCCUGGGUUCAAGCAGUUCUCCUGCCUCAGCCUCCCAAGUAGCUGGGAUUACAGGUGCCCACCACCACCCCUGGCUAAAUUUUGUAUUUUUAGUAGAGACAGGGUUUCACAGUGUUAGCCAGGCUGGUCUCAAACUCCUGACCUUGUGAUCUGCCCACCUCAGCCUCCCGAAGUGCUGGGAUUACAGGCAUGAGCCGCCACACGCAGCCCUCAGAGCAGUUUAGAAACAACCCAAGGUCCCACAGCUAGUAAGUGGCAGAACUGAAACUCAAACCCAGUCUCUCUGCCAGAGACGGAGUUUUAACGGCCACACAGACUGAGAGAGAGAGUUGAGACACUUACGUAAGGUGGGAGCCCUGCAAAUGAUUGGGUGUGGUGGUGUUCUGGAAUCUUCUGAAGCUCUGUAUUGAGUGCUGUGAGGCAUGGCUUUCCCCUGCCCCUCCUAACCUUGGACCCUGACACAUCAAAGCCAGUCUUGGGCACACGUGGCUCUUGCCUGGUUGACAGUCCCCAUCAAGCUGGUGAGGUGGUCUUGUCUUUUUUCCCCAACCUGUUGUAAUUUGACUCUUAGGAAUUGUGCCGUGAGCGCUGAGAUUUGUAGACAUCCCAUUGUAGGGGUCUUGGUUGCGUAUCACUGUGCCCAUGGCUCUUAGGGUGACACACACCCAACUCCCAAAUUCUGUCCCGAAUGAGAGGUGGGGUCCAGAGGCACUUAAAAGUCCAGGGAGUCUGAGGGACAGGGAUGCUGACAGUGGGCACUGGUGGUUUGUCUGUUCUACUGUUUCAGGGGGAUGAGCCCACCAUGUGGAAUUCAGAUGGGCCUUCUGGCUACCCCAGGGGCCUCCAGCUCAGCUUCCUGGGUGUGUCAGAGAGGCGUGCCAGGAGCCAGAGCUGAGGAAUGAGGCUGGGCUUACUGCCACCCAGGAGGAGUCCCUCUGGAGAGCCUCAGAAAGUACCUGCAAUGGCAAUACAACAGAAGAGCCUCUAAAUAUCUCCUUUUGGGGAUACGGCAGGAAAGCCAAAGGAAAUGUGAAGAGAUGUCUGAACGCCCAGAGGAAACCAGUGGGCCCUUCCAGGAGUUCUAUUUGCGGUAAGAAACCUUGGCAUGGGGCAGCCAGCUCUCCUGCAAAAAUAGACCAAUGUGCUGAGAAGCAGCUCAAUUCUGGGAGCAAUUCCCCUCCAUGGGGAAGAGAGCUUGCACUGGGACUUAGAAGGAUCUGCCCCCUCUCUUCUUCUUGCCCCUGGACUCCAGAACCAAAAACGGGGAGAAAAAAAGGUAAACAUUUUUUUAAAAAAGAACUCUUGGCCAGGUGGAGUGGCUCACACCUGUAGUCCCAACACUUUGGGAGGCUGAGGCAGGAGGAUCACUUGAGGCUAGGAGUUUGGGACCAGCCUGGACAACAUGGCAAGACCCUGUCUAUCAAAAAAAUACAAAAAUUAUCUGGGUGUGGUGGCACAUGCCUGUAGUCUCAGCUACUUGGGAGACUAAGGCAGGAAGAUUGCUUGAGCCUGGGAGGUCGAGGCUGCAGUGAGCUAUGAUCAAGACAGUGUACUCCAGCCUGAGUGACAGAGUGAGAACCCCAUCUCUUAAGAAAACAAAAAACCAGAACUUAUGAAUGUAUCCAUGACUUAAAUCAAAAAUGGGCCAGUGGAAACACAGGGCAAAGGAAGGUUUCAAAUAAGCACCUGGACACAAACGGACCCAGGAGGUGACACACAGUAUUGAGGACCCACUCCCCAUCACUAGGUCCUUUGGCCUCAAAUGAGUGAGAUGACUAAGAAAAUAGGGCACCAUGUGCGGCAGAAGUGAGGGUGGCUAGACAGAAAAUGACGGCCUUGACUGUGAUGGUCAUCACAGACAGGACCCCUAAGAAAGGUGGCCAAGGGGGUCUGGGGACCCAUCUUUAGAAUACCGGGCUGACAGCAUAACAGGGGUUUGGGACACCACCAUGAAAGAAGACAAUGAAGCCAGGUGCAGUGGCUCACGCCUAUAAUCCCAGCACUUUGGGAAGCCAAGGCAGGAAGAUUGCUUGAGCCCAGGAGUUUGAGACCAGCCCGAGCAACGUAGCAAGACCCCCAUCUCUACUAAAAAUUUAAAAAUUAGCGAAGCAUGGCUGGGCACGGUGGCUCACGCCUGUAAUCCCAAUACUUUGGGAAGCCAAGGCGGGUGGAUUACGAGGUCAGGAAUUCAAGACCAGCCUGACCAACAGGGUGAAACCCUGUCUCUACUAAAAAUACAAAAAUUAGCCGGGUGUGGUGGCAGGCUCCUGUAACCCCAGCUACUCAGUAGGCUGAGGCAGGAAAAUCGCUUGAACUCAGGAGGUUCAGUAAGCCAAGAUCAUGCCAUUGCACUCCAGCCUGGGUGACGGAGUGAGACUCCAUCUCAAAAAAAAAAAAAUUAGCCAAGCACAGUGGCAUGUGUCUGUAGUACCAGCUACUUGGGAGGCUGAGUGAAGAGGGAGGAUUGCUUGAGGCCAGGAGUUGGAGACCAGACUGGGCAACAUAGCGAGACCUCAGCUUGGAAGUAAGGAAGGAAAGAAGGGAGGGAAGGAGGGAUGAAGGUAGAAAGAAACGGGACAAGAUGGACUCCUGAGGCCAUCCUAAUUCUGGAACACAAUACAAUGGCCUCUGUAUGUUAGGAGGGCUCAUUUGGCUUCUCUCUAAGCCAGCAGUCCACAUCUUUUUGGCACCAAGGACCAGUUUUGUAGAAGACAAUUUUCCACGGAUGGGGGCGGGGGGUGGGGGUGGGAGGGGAUGGUUUCGGGAUGAAACUGUUCCACCUCAGAUCAUCAGACGUUAGAUUCUCGUAAGAGGUGCCCAACCUACAUCCCUUGCACGUGCAGUCCACAAUAGGGUUUGUGCUUCUAUGGGAAUAUAAUGCCACACUGAUCUGACAGGAGUCAGGGCUCAGGUAGUAAUGCUCACUCACCUGCCGCACACCUCCUGCUGUGCGGCCGGUUCCCAAUAGGCCAUGGAAUGCUUAUUGGUCCACAGCCCUGGAGUUGGGCACCCCUCUUCUAAGGCAGAAGCUUCUACUGUCUUAGGAGCAGCGUCCUGGCCUCCACAGCAGGGAGAGAGCAGGAAUACCCAGCCACAGAUACUGGUCAAGAUAUUGAUCAACUUCCUACCAUCAUGGUGGAGGCAAGCCUGGAGGCCUCUGGGUGGUCAUCAGGUCACCCCAGCACAUUUUCCUGCCCCGGACUCCUGGCCACGCUGAGGUUGCUGUGAGCAGACACGAUGUGCAGGGUCAUGGAUGUGCAGCUCAAACUCCUUGACAAGCGGGAGAUUUAUUUUAUGGCCCAAGCAGUUUGGAGACAAAAUCGUAAGGUGCUCACCCAUCCAGUGUCUCUUCAGCCGGCACUGGGAGGUGUCAAACUGACCACAUUCGACUGCCCCUUCCGCCCGCAGAAUAUGGGUCUGCGUUUCUCUUUCCCUCUUGGUGGCCAAGAACUGUCAACAUCCAGCUGUGGCUCUGCACUCAGCCGCCGCUCAGCCUGCUCAGGUUGAAAGGUCAAACGUUGUCUGGAAUUGGCAGCCCAGCUUACUAGCAGCUCUUCUGUCUUCAGAGUGCAGUGAGGGGAGCUGUCAGAGGGCUGAGGCAAGGACCAGAGAGGGAACUCCUGCGACAGAGAAAGCUCAGCCCUGGUUAUGUUCUGGAGGGAGCAUAGCAGGGUCUGUCCCAGGAACUUUAUUAGUUAGCGGUUAAGAUCCUCAUCCACAGAAAAGCCGGUAGGAAUUAGCCAGGUGGUGUGUGCCUAUGGUCCCAGCUACCCAGGAGGGUGAGGAGGGAGGACUGCUUGAGCCCAGGAGGUUGAGGCUGCGGCUAGCUAUGAUUGUGUCACUGCGCUCCAGCCUGGGUGACAAAGCAAGAUCCUGACUCAAAAAAAAAAAAAAAAAAAAAAGGAAGAAAGAAGAAAGAGAGAGAAGAAAGAAAGGAGAGAAAGAGAAGGAAGGAAGGAGAAAGGAAAGAAGGAAGGAAGAAAAGGAAGAAAGAAUGACAAAGAAAAGAAAGAAAGACGAAAAGGAAAGGAAAAGAAAAGAAAAAAGAAACAAAAGCAGGAAAGUGAGGGGAGAGGGCCAGGAAGACAGAAGACAGGAUGGGCAAGAAGGGUGGGAAGGAUUCCCACACCAGAUUCAGGAGUGGCUCUGCAUUGGGAAAUCCAUCUACGACUGCUGGGGACUUGGUUUUGCAAACAUGCACAGAGAAACCUUCAUCCACCUCUGUGCAAUGUUGGACUGAAGUAGAAAUGAGCCGCUGUUUUCUGGAAGCACCCCAUUUCUUUGAGCUGAUCUUCUCUAAUAAUGAAUUCUGGUGAAGCCUGCCAUUCACAGCACCCUGCCCUCCCAUCUGUAGGAGGUGGGAACAGGACCCAGGCCAGUUGAUCAGAGAGCUCCCUUGCCCUGGGAUGAGCAUGUGACCCAGAUGUCUCAAUCAUGGGGAAGAUCCUCUUGCCUGUUAUAGCCACUAUGCUGGAAGAACAGGAUGUGGGCUUGCUGGCCGCCAUCUUCCAGUCCACGCUGGGAACCCAUCUGCAGGAGGAGGGAAGGAGGACAACCCAGUUUGAGGGAGCAUAUGGACAGCAGCUAUAGAAGGCUCCAUAUGUGCCCAGUGCUAGAUCCACCCCAUCCCUUCCUGUUCCAUAAAUCCAUACAUCUUCUCUCACUUUUGCUUACCCUAGUUUGAGUUACAUUUCUGACACCUGCCACCAUAAAAGCCCAAAUGAUUACAGAGAAUAUUUGGCUACAGGAAAGACCCUGCAGUCUGUGAAAAAAGAGGCUGCUGGUGCAUAGUCAUCGUAGACCAGUGCAAAGAGUGAAACAGAAACAUCCAGCUUAAUCUGCAAAAGCCUUUUUGGAUCCUUGAGAGGCGCUCAUUAACUUACAGCAAAUUGGUGAGCUGAUACUCUUCUUUCAUCCAGGUGAGUGCAUUAACUAGGUUAAUGUUCCUGUCUCAAGGGACUGCUGUAGGUUAGGGUGAAUGAAUGAAAGAAGCAAGUUUUUAAACAGGAAAAAGGCUGCAGGGAAGUUGAGGUGACAAGCAUCGUUUCACCCCCAAUGGAAGGUGAGCUUGUCUGUUAGGUCCCAGGGACUGAAUUGGAGUUCCGUGGUUAGGGAAUGACCCAUCUCAACAAGCAACUUCCAUCAUCCUUCCAUGGGGAUCUGAUUAAGGUCUUCUCCAGAAGGAGAUGGCCUCGUGAGUUGGGGCUUUUUAAUCUCCCUGUCCCUCCUCUAGAAGGGCAUUGCUACUGGCCUUGCCCUGCCAAGUCUUCAGUCUACAACAACACUGCCCGGCUUCAGACACAGCCCAGAUCCUUCCCAGAUCCUUCCCAGACACAGCCCAGAUCCUUCCCAGACAAAAAGUCCUUCCGACUUUUUGCCCUUUCGGCCCAGCCUUCCCUAUCACUUAUGCUGAAAUUGGGAACGUUUCCCAAACCAACAAUUUCCCAGUCCACAAUGUUCCCUUGCUGAGUGUCCCCACAGGAGAGACAGGCAGCCUGAUAAAUAAAACCAGUCAUAAAACCUCCCUGCCUUAGCAAAGGGACUGCUUUGCCAGGCUACCGUCACAUAGCACUCCUGUCUCCCGUUUGACUUCAUAUAGUGAAAAUUGUCUAAAAGAUAAGGCAGGAGCUCUGGUUGACACCCCCCCUGCCCCCGCCUCAUAGAUCUCUCUCUAGAAGCAUUGGAAGAGGCCGUCUCAAAAAAGAAAAAUAAAAUAGAAGCAUUGGAGGAAAGAUGUGGUUUGUAGUGAAACAAAUUGGAAGUCAAGCUCAGCCUCAACCACUUACUUGCUUCUGACCUUGGGAACUUAGGCCAGCUCCCAUCCAGUUCAAUCAGGUUGGGACCACCAGUUCUUCAAUGGGCCUGCCCAAAUGCCCAAGAAGUGGACUUUUGAUGUCAGAGGGCCAAAGAUCCCGCCCUCAGAUCAUGCUAAUGCCACCACUUUCUGUACACAUGUCCUAUGAAAUGCCACCAACUCUGACUAUUACGCUUGUGCAGAACAAACCUAUCAAUUAAUUUUUCCCUGCUGCCAAUCACGUUUCCCCAUGCCUUACACCACCGUGUUUCCCUAACCCAUAAAUAUCCCUAAGCCUUAUCUUCAGGAAGCAGGAUGUGAGAGCUGUUCUACCUCCUUGCUUGGUGGCCUUGCAAAUAAAUCUUUUCUCUUUUGCAAAACCCA
This is a long non-coding RNA of Homo sapiens (human), 10464 nucleotides long. RefSeq annotates it as long independently transcribed non-coding RNA 3107. Lineage: Eukaryota; Metazoa; Chordata; Mammalia; Primates; Hominidae. The transcript has 2 exons. The record is from RefSeq and is a predicted model, not a curated record.